This 253-nucleotide ribosomal RNA is filed under the name uncultured bacterium. RNAcentral describes it as "partial 16S ribosomal RNA". It matches the Rfam family "Bacterial small subunit ribosomal RNA", at positions 524 to 776 of the family's 1533-position model. The record is from RNAcentral.
GACGAACCGUGCGAACGUUGUUCGGAAUCAUUGGGCUUAAAGGGCGCGUAGGCGGGCCGCCGAGUCCGGGGUGAAAUCCUCCAGCUUAACUGGAGAACUGCCCCGGAUACUGGAGGUCUCGAGGGGGGUAGGGGCAUGCGGAACUGUGGGUGGAGCGGUGAAAUGCGUUGAUAUCCACAGGAACUCCGGUGGCGAAGGCGGCGACCUGGUCCUUGACUGACGCUGAGGCGCGAAAGCGUGGGGAGCAAACAGG